AAGAGACUGUACAAAAACCUGAACACAGAUAUCUGACUCCUCUUCAAAGAGGAGGGAAGUGGUAUUCAAACCACAGCUUCAUAUCAGAUGGAUUCUGCUAAUUCCUCUUUUAUCAGAGUCACUGUGGUUACAGCUGCUACAACAUACAGUGAUAUGAGAGGAGGAACAGGCUGAGGGAGGAGCAACACUGUCAAAGAGCAGGACAGACAACAACUCCCACUGUCAGAUGCAUUCAAUAUCUAAAGCAUACAUAACACAGAUACUGUGUGUAAGAUGCUCUCACUGCUUUACUGUGGAAUGUUUCCUUUGGUUCUCAUCAUACUAAAAGGUGUCAGCUGUGAACAACUGACUCCAGUCAAGGAUGAAGAGUUCGGUUCAGAAGGCAGCUCUGUUACUCUGUCCUACACAUACUCCAAAAAAGCUGAUGCCACUGAUUAUUUCUUCUGGUAUCAACAACAUCCAGGAAAACCACCACAGCUCCUCAUCUCUCACACAGGGAAAGGAGAAAUCUUAAAUCCAGGCUCUGGACUGACGGUUACUGUGAGUCGGGAUCAAACCCAAAUGGAUCUGCAGAUCUCCUCUGCUGCAGUGACAGACUCUGCUGUGUACUACUGUGCUGUGAGGCCCACAGUGACAGGAAACAGCACAACUCUGUACAAAAACACAAGCUGACUCACUGACAAGCUGCUGGAAGCCUUUUUUCCAACAAAGUGCUGAACUCAACUUUUUGCCUCCACUAGAGGGCGACAUUAUGAAGUAGGCGGUGCACUACUUGUGCUCUCUGUUCAAGCAUUGUGUCAAUAAUAACUGCUGCUGUGAAGAGAAGAAUUGUCAGACUCAGUGUUGAACAUCAGCUACUUUCUCC
Toxotes jaculatrix (banded archerfish) is the source of this 865-nucleotide non-coding RNA. Lineage: Eukaryota; Metazoa; Chordata; Actinopteri; Toxotidae. The record is from the annotation of a RefSeq genome assembly.